RNAcentral lists this small RNA (160 nucleotides) under Gopherus agassizii (Agassiz's desert tortoise). Its description in RNAcentral is "TUC338 (ENSGAGG00000001209.1)". The record is from RNAcentral. Lineage: Eukaryota; Metazoa; Chordata; Testudines; Testudinidae.
UGGAAAGUGCUGGAGUCAGACACCCUCUAUCCACAGCAAAGACAUGGAACAGGCAGUACUUUCCCUCAGGCUGCCCCACACAGGCCUCAGCCCUACCACUCUACUUGUAGGGGUUGAGAAGAGAGUUGAGUCUCCAUGGCCCAUUCAGCCCUUGGCCUUU